GAUGAAGAACGUAGCGAAAUGCGAUACGUAAUGUGAAUUGCAGAAUUCAGUGAAUCAUCGAAUCUUUGAACGCAUAUUGCGCUCUCUGGUAUUCCGGAGAGCAUGCUUGUUUGAGUAUCAGUAAACACCUCAACUUCCAUAUCUUUUUUGAAAUGGGAGUUGGACUUGAGUGAUCCCAACGCUUUUCCUCACCAAAAAGUGGCGGGUUACUUGAAAUGCAGGUGCAGCUGGAUUUUUCUCUGAGCUAUAAGCAUAUCUAUUUAGUCUGCCUAAAAAACAGAUUAUUACCUUUGCUGCAGCUAACAUAAAGGAGAUUAGUUCUUGUGCUGACUGAUGCAGGAUUCACAAAGACAGGCUUCGGCCGACUUUGUAAACUCGAUCUCAAAUCAAGUAAGACUACCCGCUGAACUUAAGCAUAUCAAUAAGCGGAGGA
RNAcentral lists this unclassified non-coding RNA (433 nucleotides) under soil metagenome. Its description in RNAcentral is "partial contains 5.8S ribosomal RNA, internal transcribed spacer 2, and large subunit ribosomal RNA". The stretch from base 1 to 120 matches the Rfam family "5.8S ribosomal RNA", at positions 35 to 154 of the family's 154-position model. The record is from RNAcentral.